UACGAAGGGGGCUAGCGUUGUUCGGAAUUACUGGGCGUAAAGCGUGCGCAGGCGGCUUCUCAAGUCAGGGGUGAAAGCCCAGAGCUUAACUCUGGAAUUGCCUUUGAGACUGAGAGGCUUGAGUACGGGAGAGGUGAGUGGAAUUCCCAGUGUAGAGGUGAAAUUCGUAGAUAUUGGGAAGAACACCGGUGGCGAAGGCGGCUCACUGGCUCGUUUCUGACGCUCAGGCGCGACAGCGUGGGGAUCAAACAGG
RNAcentral lists this ribosomal RNA (253 nucleotides) under uncultured bacterium. RNAcentral's name for it is "partial 16S ribosomal RNA". It matches the Rfam family "Bacterial small subunit ribosomal RNA", at positions 524 to 776 of the family's 1533-position model. The record is from RNAcentral.